GAUGAACGCUGGCGGCGUGCCUAAUACAUGCAAGUCGAGCGAACAGACGAGGAGCUUGCUCCUUCGACGUUAGCGGCGGACGGGUGAGUAACACGUAGGUAACCUACCUAUAAGACUGGGAUAACUUCGGGAAACCGGAGCUAAUACCGGCUAAUAUUUCGAACCGCAUGGUUCGAUAGUGAAAGAUGGCUUUGCUAUCACUUAUAGAUGGACCUGCGCCGUAUUAGCUAGUUGGUAAGGUAACGGCUUACCAAGGCAACGAUACGUAGCCGACCUGAGAGGGUGAUCGGCCACACUGGAACUGAGACACGGUCCAGACUCCUACGGGAGGCAGCAGUAGGGAAUCUUCCGCAAUGGGCGAAAGCCUGACGGAGCAACGCCGCGUGAGUGAUGAAGGUCUUCGGAUCGUAAAACUCUGUUAUUAGGGAAGAACAAACGUGUAAGUAACUGUGCACGUCUUGACGGUACCUAAUCAGAAAGCCACGGCUAACUACGUG
RNAcentral lists this ribosomal RNA (497 nucleotides) under uncultured bacterium. RNAcentral's name for it is "partial 16S ribosomal RNA". It matches the Rfam family "Bacterial small subunit ribosomal RNA", at positions 28 to 507 of the family's 1533-position model. The record is from RNAcentral.